Molecule: ribosomal RNA, 634 nt
Filed under: uncultured bacterium
Lineage: Bacteria
Description: bacterial SSU rRNA
Rfam family: Bacterial small subunit ribosomal RNA
Source: RNAcentral
GAGUUUGAACCUGGCUCAGGAUGAACGCUGGCAGCGUGCCUAAUACAUGCAAGUCGAGCGAACCACUUCGGUAGUGAGCGGCGAACGGGUGAGUAACACGUAGGUGAUCUGCCCAUCAGACGGGGACAACGAUUGGAAACGAUCGCUAAUACCGGAUAGGACGAAAGUUUAAAGGUGCUUCUGGCACCGCUGAUGGAUGAGCCUGCGGCGCAUUAGCUAGUUGGUAGGGUAAAGGCCUACCAAGGCGACGAUGCGUAGCCGACCUGAGAGGGUGAACGGCCACACUGGGACUGAGACACGGCCCAGACUCCUACGGGAGGCAGCAGUAGGGAAUCUUCGGCAAUGGGCGAAAGCCUGACCGAGCAACGCCGCGUGAAUGAUGAAGGCCUUCGGGUUGUAAAAUUCUGUUAUAAGGGAAGAACGACUUUAGUAGGAAAUGGCUAGAGUGUGACGGUACCUUAUGAGAAAGCCACGGCUAACUACGUGCCAGCAGCCGCGGUAAUACGUAGGUGGCGAGCGUUAUCCGGAAUUAUUGGGCGUAAAGAGCGCGCAGGUGGUUGAUUAAGUCUGAUGUGAAAGCCCACGGCUUAACCGUGGAGGGUCAUUGGAAACUGGUCGACUUGAGUGCAGAAGA